GAUCUGGAGUGUGUUUGCAUUUUGAUCAGAUGCUUCAGUGCUCUGAGAGUGUUUAUAGUGCUGUGAGUUUAACACUUCAUCACUGACACACACAACAAUCUUCAUCAACAUGACCUUCAUCAUCAUCUUCAUCUGGACUCUCACAGCGUUUGCUCAAGAGUGUAGAGGACAGAUCACCGUCACUCAGAGUCCCUCAAUGACAGCAGCUCAACCAGGACAAACUGUGAACAUCAACUGUAGAACCAGCAGUAAUGUGUACAGAUAUAGUGAUGGGGAUGAAGCUUUAUUCUGGUACUUACAGAAACCUGGAGAAGCUCCUAAACUCAUGAUUCGUUAUGCAAAAAAACUUGAGUCAGGAACUCCAUCUAGAUUCAGUGGCAGUGGAUCUAACAGUGAUUUCACUCUGACCAUCAGUGGAGUCCAGACUGAAGAUGCUGGACAUUAUUACUGUCAGAGUUAUCACUACAUCAACAGUCAAUAUGUGUUCACACAGUGAUAAAGAGUCGUACAAAAACCUCCGUCAGUCAGAGUCACAGUGACUGAACUGAUACUGCAGCUGCUCAAAGGAGGAUCUGAAACAACAUCGUCACACAAACAUCAGAAAUAAAAUCAUCUAAAUUAA
Non-coding RNA from Megalobrama amblycephala (Wuchang bream), 622 nucleotides. NCBI's taxonomy places the organism in Eukaryota, Metazoa, Chordata, Actinopteri, Cypriniformes, Xenocyprididae. The record is from the annotation of a RefSeq genome assembly.